GAUGAACGCUGGCGGCGUGCCUAAUACAUGCAAGUCGAACGGACGGACGAGACGCUUGCUUCUCUGAUGUUAGCCGCGGACGGGUGUGUCACACGUGGAUCCCCUACCUAUCAGACUGGGAACACUUCGGAACACCGGCGCUAAUCCCGGAUGAUCUUUUGAACCGCAUUGUUCAAAGGUGAAUUUCGGUCUUGCUGUCUCUUCUAGCUGGAUACGGGCUGCAUUAGCUGGUAGGGACGGUUAUGGCUUACCAAGGCAACGAUGCCUAGCCGACGUGACAGGGGGAUCGCCCACACGGGAAGGGAGACACGGACCAGACGCCUGCGGGAGGCAGCAGUAGCGAAUCGGCCGCAAUGGGCGGAAGCCUGACGGAGCAACGCGGAGUGAGUGAUGAAGGCCUUCGGAGCGUAAAACUCUGUUAUGAGUGAAGAACAGAUGUGGAAGUAACUGUGCACAGCUUGACGGUACCUAAUCAGAAAGCAACGGCUAACUACGUG
Molecule: ribosomal RNA, 497 nt
Filed under: uncultured bacterium
Lineage: Bacteria
Description: partial 16S ribosomal RNA
Rfam family: Bacterial small subunit ribosomal RNA
Source: RNAcentral